This 73-nucleotide transfer RNA is filed under the name Fibrobacterales bacterium. RNAcentral describes it as "tRNA-Asn". It matches the Rfam family "tRNA". Rfam says of the family: Transfer RNA (tRNA) molecules are approximately 80 nucleotides in length. Their secondary structure includes four short double-helical elements and three loops (D, anti-codon, and T loops). Lineage: Bacteria; Pseudomonadati; Fibrobacterota; Fibrobacteria; Fibrobacterales. The record is from RNAcentral.
UGCCCUAUAGCUCAGUUGGUAGAGCACGCGGCUGUUAACCGCGUUGUCCCUGGUUCGAGCCCAGGUGGGGCAG